GACGAACGCUGGCGGCGUGCUUAACACAUGCAAGUCGAACGAUGAAGCCGGAGCUUGCUCCGGUGGAUUAGUGGCGAACGGGUGAGUAACACGUGAGCAAUCUGCCCUUGACUCUGGGAUAAUUGCGGGAAACUGUAGCUAAUACCGGAUACGACACCUUGGGGCAUCCCAGGGUGUGGAAAGAAUUUCGGUCAAGGAUGAGCUCGCGGCCUAUCAGCUAGUUGGUGAGGUAAUGGCUCACCAAGGCGACGACGGGUAGCCGGCCUGGGAGGGUGACCGGCCACACUGGAACUGAGACACGGUCCAGACUCCUACGGGAGGCAGCAGUGGGGAAUAUUGCACAAUGGGCGAAAGCCUGAUGCAGCAACGCCGCGUGAGGGAUGAAGGCCUUCGGGUUGUAAACCUCUUUUAGCAGGGAAGAAGCGAAAGUGACGGUACCUGCAGAAAAAGCACCGGCUAACUACGUGCCAGCCGCCGGGGUAA
Molecule: ribosomal RNA, 483 nt
Filed under: uncultured bacterium
Lineage: Bacteria
Description: partial 16S ribosomal RNA
Rfam family: Bacterial small subunit ribosomal RNA
Source: RNAcentral